This is a non-coding RNA of Cricetulus griseus (Chinese hamster), 1987 nucleotides long. The record is from RefSeq and is a predicted model, not a curated record. Lineage: Eukaryota; Metazoa; Chordata; Mammalia; Rodentia; Cricetidae.
AUUGCAUGCUCCCCAGUUACCCAAGCCAGGAAGCAGGCCUUCAUCCUGUCUCCUCCCUCUGUCUCAUUCCCCACUUCCAAACAGUCACCCAAACUGUCAUCACUGACACCUCUCCAUCCCUGAGGCCAUCACUCUACCCCGGGUUCCAGCAUGCUCCACUUGGACUCACACCCAAUCCUAGUGGCUCUUUUCUCCUCCAUUUCCUUCCUUACCUGGGGACUCUCCUAUGUGAAUGCUAAGGAACAGACACACUGCACUUUGGGUUGUCACCUACCUGCUCCUCUCUCUGGGGUGCAUUGUAUCCCACCACAAGAAUGAAAGAACACAAAGAACCAACAGAAAGCUGGAAACUAUAAACUCUGGAGGAGUUGCCAUGGUCAUAGUGUCUCUUCACAGCAAUAGAAACCCUAAGGAAGACAGAAGUUGGUACCAGGCCUGGAGUAUUGCUGUAAUAGGCCUGAUCAUGCCUUUGGUUGGAAGGAAUUUGGACUUUGGUACUUGGGGUUAGAAAAGCAGUGGAAGGCUUUAAGCACCGCUUGAUGGGCCAUACAGUAGGAGAAUGGAAGACAGUAGUGCUAAGAGUUACUGGAACUGUGAGGGGCUGGCUCAGGAUGUUUCAGAGGAGGAGAAUUUUAAUAUGUUGCCUAGAAAUUUUUCUUGUGAUGUUUUGGUAAAGAAUGUGGCUGCUUUUUGACAUUGUCUGAAAAGUUUGUCUGAGACUAAAGUGAAUUUUUUGAUUAAUUGCCUUGGUAGAGGAAAUCUUAAAACAGCCUAGAAUAGACUCUGUUGUGUGGCUACUAAUGUUGAGUCUAAUGAAGACACGUAAUGAAAAGGAGCAAUGAGCAACAAAAAAUAUUUAAGGAGAAAAGGAACACCAGGAAGUAGAAUAGAGCAAACAGCAGAACUUGGCAACUCCAGCCAUGUGAUUCUGGAGUUAAGGACAGAAGAAAGGGGUUAUGGAAUUUGCCUCUGCAUGAAAGGAAAGCCACUGAGGCCAGGCAUGUGUCAGUGGUAUCCCUGAAUGGAGGCCUAACCAGGCCAUUGAGUGAAGCUGUGAAGUUGAAGCCUGGUUUGCCUUGGAGACCCAAAGAGGUUGGAGAUGCCAGAGCAGUGAGGAGAGCAGCUAACAGGGAGUGGAACCAGCCCAAGAGAAAGGAGUGUGUCACAGUCAACAAAGCUGAAAGGAACUGGAGAUCUGGAGUACUUUGACAUAAUACAUGGAUAUGCAGAGUUUGGAGUUUGCCCAGCUGGUUUUCAACCUUGCUUUGUUCCUUCCCUAUGUUUUGGAAUGGUAAUGCAUAUCCUGUGCCAUUAUAUGUUGGAAGUAUAUUUUUGCUUUUAAUUUUGAUUUUAUGUUGGGAAACCUUGCAGGUCAGAGGUUGCAGCCUAUCAUGGCCUGGCAGCUUUCUCCAAAGCUUGAUGACAUGGGGACUCCCCCACUCCCACCCUGCCCAGUGAGACUUCCUGUCCUUUACCUGCCCUUAUCUGGGGAGAAUGUCCCUGGGCCCAGAGGACUGACCUUAUCUGAAAAUUGUCUCUAAGCCUGGAUGCCUGAUUUAUCUUUAGCAUGACCCUUGGCACAGUUCCCUGCUAAAAGCCUCCCCUGCUGCACAUAUGGUAGCUAAGACUAGGAGCCUUCCUAUAGGACCCUGCUGCCACAUAUGAAGCCUUAUGAUAGAGGUGUGCCACCUAAUGCAAAUUAGGGUUUGUCCCCAGGUUUCCCAACCCUGUAUAUUCUUUAUACUCUGGAAUAAAGUUCAGCUGAUUCACUGAAGUCAUCUCCCAGAGUGCUGUCUCUAUCAUACCCACAGCCGCCUGGAACCUGUUCUCUGCUUCUGCUCCCUCCUCCCUCACGGAUCAAGGCAACAAUGAUCUCAAGGAAGCAGAGCCACAAUUUUGUGGGGGAUUGCAGUUAAGAUAUUGUAUGAAUCUCAGAAGACACUUUGAACUUUUGACUUUUAAAUAAAAUUGAAACUGUUAUAGACUA